UGCGUAGGCGGACGGGUAAGUCUGAUGUGAAAUCUCACAGCUUAACUGUGAAACUGCAUUGGAUACUAUUCGGCUUGAGAGUUGGAGGGGGGACUGGAAUUCUUGGUGUAGCAGUGAAAUGCGUAGAUAUCAAGAGGAACACCAGUGGCGAAGGCGAGUCCCUGGACAACUUCUGACGCUGAGGCACGAAAGCUAGGGGAGCAAACA
This 207-nucleotide ribosomal RNA is filed under the name uncultured bacterium. RNAcentral describes it as "partial 16S ribosomal RNA". It matches the Rfam family "Bacterial small subunit ribosomal RNA", at positions 568 to 774 of the family's 1533-position model. The record is from RNAcentral.